This 1959-nucleotide long non-coding RNA is filed under the name Equus caballus (horse). RNAcentral describes it as "lncRNA (ENSECAG00000049397.1)". The record is from RNAcentral. Lineage: Eukaryota; Metazoa; Chordata; Mammalia; Perissodactyla; Equidae.
GUUAGAUGGUGAUAACUGAAAGGAGAAAAAAAUAAAUGGAGGCCGGCCUGGGUGCAUAGAGGUUAAGUCCAGCACACUCUGCUUCAGCAGCCUGGGGUUCACGGGUUCAGAUCCCAGGUGUGGACCUACGCCACUCCUCAAAGGCAUGCUCUGGUGGCAACUCACACACAAAGUAGAGGAAGAUUGGCACAGAUGUUAGCUCAGGGCCAAUCUUCCUCGGCAAAAAAAAAAAAAAAAAAAAGGGAGACAGGGAGUGUCAAGAGUAAAAGGCUGACAUUUUGGAUAGGGUGGCCAGAAAGGCCCUUCUGUAAAGGUGGCAUUUGAGUAAAGAUUGGAGGAAGUGAGUAGGGAAGGCAGUGAAUAUCUGGAGGAAGAAGAUUCCAGGCAAAGGGAACAGCAGGUUCAAAGAACCUCAGGUGCCAGUGUGCCUGUCAUGUUUGGAUAUUGGGGAGCAGCAGAGUGAGUUGGAAGAUGAGUAGUAGUAAGAAGGGUCGGGUGUGUGUUGGGGGGAGAGGUAUUGAAUGGGAAGAUACAGACUAAGCAGGGCCUUGAGGUCACAAUUAGGAGUGUGGUUUUACCCUGAAUGAAACGUCUAGCCUUCGGAGGGUUUGAACAUCCAAGUGUCGUGAUGUGACCUACAUGUUAGCAGCAUCAUUCUGGCAGCUAUGUUAAGAUGGGGGAGGCAGGGAGAUCAGUUAGGAGGCUUGACACAAGUCUGGGUCAGAGGUAAUGGUGGCUGUGACGUCAGCAAUAGUAGUGGAGUAGUAGGAGGUAUUCUGGUUUGGGAUAUAUUUGAUGUAGAGCCAACAGCAUUUUCUCAUGGAUUGGAUGUGAGCUGUGAGGGGAGAAGAGGAGGCAGCGAUUAUUUGAAGGUUCGGCCUGAGCGGCUGAGGGAUGGAGUGCCGUUAACUGACAUGGGGGUGGCUCUGAGAGGAGCAGGCCUGGCGGGGGCUUUUCAGGAGUGAAGCUUUGGACGUGCUGUUUGUGAUGCCUGCUUGACAUGCAGGCGGCGCGAGGCUGUCUAGGUUCACGUGGGUGUUCUAGACUGAAGUUCAGGAAGGACGUCUGGGCGUCCUCAGUGUGGAGAGAAUGUUUGAAACUGUGAGACCGAUUGAGUCAUCUAGAGAAUAAGUGUAGAAAGAGAAGAGAGUAAACUUUUUGAGGUACUUACUCCUUCAUCUCUCUGCUUAGUGCACACCCCUAAAGGCCCCGGGUUCUCUAGGCCUUUCACAGUGUGGUUUCAUAGACAUCCCUCACUCAGUCAAACUGGAGUUCUUCUGUUGCUUAAGCUCUCCUUUGUAUUGCUGCCUUCCUCUUUUUGCCCAUUCUAUUCCUUUUACUUAGAAUGCUGUUUCACUCUUUCUACCCACCUUAAAUCCAGUUUUCUCUAAGCAUCUUUAUCUUGUUACCGCAGAAUGAUCUGUUUCUUUUUCAAACACCAGUUGUUCUAUUUCAUUUUGCAAAAUGCUUCGUCUUUAUUCUACACUCCCUCUUACCUUGCCUGUAUUGUAAAGUUCAUCUUGUUUUUAUAUUUGUCCUUUUUCCUAAUGAGCUAAUGAGAUCUGUGGCAGAGACCAUGAUUUUUGUUGUUGUUGUUCCCCAUUCCCACAUCCCUUGGGAGGGUGGGAGAAGUAUUCUUCUUUUUUGUCUUUGUUGAGGAAGAUUGGCCCUGAGCUAACAUCCAUGGCCAGUCCUCCUCUUUUUGCUCGAGGAAGAUUAUUGCUGAGCUGACAUCAGUGGCAGUCCUCCUCUAUUUUAUGUGGGAUGCCACCACAGUGUGGCUUGACGAGUGGUGCUGCGUCUGCGCUCCGGAUCUGAACCUGCGAACCCCAGGCCACUGAAGCCAGGCAGGCGAACUUAACAACUUGACCACCAGGCCAGCCCCAAAAGGGGCCAUGGUUUUUAAUGUUUUCCACAGUGCUUAGAAGCCCAAUUCUAUUCCUCACAGGCGAUCUCUGG